AGGUGGGACUGGAAAUACCUCUGGAGAUGUUCUGGUCCAAUCUCCUGCUCAGAGCCUGCUCAGAGAGGGGCUCUUCCCUGACCUUUGGGGUGCUCUGCAGAGCUCAUCUCCUCCUGUGCCCAAGCAGGAGCCGGCCCCAGAGGUCUCACAGCCGGGAGUGGAAUCGAGCACGGGAUGCCCCGGCAGCAUCCUGUGAAGAGGGACAGAGAUGUUCACACCUGGCUACAAGAAGCUGGGAGUGGCUGGUGAAGUGGCACUAACAUUGAAGUCAGCAGCGAGGUGACAUGUGCCUCCCAGGAGACACUACCGAGAGAAGAGGGGCUGCAUCUCGCUUCCCACCUCUGCUGCCUUCAGGCUGAUGCCCCCGGCGCCGGGAAGGACCCAGCCUGGGGACCAGGACCCCAAAUGCUCUGUCCCCACACGCGUGGCCGGGGCAGCCGUGCCGUGCCCCGGCGCCGUGCCGAGCCCUCCCCGCGGAGCGCGGCAGGCUGUGUGACAAGCCAGACCAGCAUGGUGGAUGGCAGUAAUUAUCGUGCGCCCACAGCUGAAGGGGAGCAUAUGAUUCGAUAGCCCAGCCCGUGACAGCGCGGCCGCCGCGGCUCCAGCUGGGCCGGCCCGGACCCCGCGCAGCCCCUCGGAUGGAGAGCCCGGGAGGACGACGAGGAGGAGGAGGAGGAGGAGGAGGAGGAGGAGGAGGAGGAGGAGGAGGAGGAGAAGGAGAGAAGCCACCCUGGGAUGGGACUUCCCUCUUCAUCCCGGCAAAGUCUUCUCCACGCUCAUGGUCCCACGGGGGUGAGUGUUUGCGUCAUCCCCUGAGCCUCGUCCCUGGGGAGACCCAGCUGGGGGACAGCGUGACCCCCCCCGGGAUGCCCUUGCAGCCCUGCUGUGAAGCCACCCGGGCAUGUGACACCAUGACACCCAGGUGAGGACCCCACAGGACCUCUCCCCUCAGGGUGCAGCUCUGCUAUAUCCCCGUUUGGAGUGGGUGGGAAUGUUGGAGGACUCCACUCCUCCAUCAGAGCUGGGGAUGUGGAGGGAGGGUGUCUUUGAUGCCACUGGGACACAGUCUGGCCCUCUCUCAUGGCCGCCCGUGUUCCCCCAGCCUGCAUGGCCAUGUUUGGGGGCUGGGAAUGGCUUCCCAGGCAAGUCUGGCCCAGACCUUGGGGGGUUUCUCCCCUGUCUGAAGGGCCAACUGCCCCCCAAGCAUCAGGUCCUCACCCUGCUGGGUGAUGGCUCUGGGGGGAGCUGGGGGUCUCCUGGUGGAGGGGAAAAGGGCUGCUCAGCAACCACAGUUGGCUGGUCCUGACCCACUGGUGCCUGUGCCUGCCUCCUCCUCCUCCUCUUCCCUGCUGCUUCGAGGGUCUGAAGAGCCUCCUCCAGCUCCAGCCCAGCCCAAGUGGGUGCAGGCAGCUACUGGCACAAUCCAUAAUGUUUCCCUGUCUGCCUGGCACUGGAACGUGCUUGAGGGGAGCAGGAUGGGCACCCCAGCACCCAGAGCUCACCCAUGGACACACUGCCCUGCAGCAGGGCUGGGGGUCCCAGCCUGAGCCACCCUCCUGGCACACGGUGACAGUGAUGGCCAUUCCACGUGUCCUUCCUGAGGGGGCCCAGCCAGGAGCCCCGGCCGCAGCAGCAACCCCUCCCUCCGGGGUUACCGGGAUGGGGCUUCCUUACAGGCGACCCCCAAUCCCUCCUCCUGGUGCCUGCACUUUGGGCAGCAGCAGCGGCUGCUGGCUGUGGAGGUGAAGGCUCCUCGGUCUCUCUCCAGCUCGUGGCAGAGCGCGGGACACAGCGCAGGAUGAGGAAGGGCCCGCUCGCAUCCCGAUCCAUUAUUGCGGGCAGCGCCGGCGGGCGCCCGGGGCAGGGGCUGCAUUAUUGACGAAGGGGAAGGCAGGCCGAGGCGCAGGCAGGGACCCUCCUGCAGGGCUCAGCCCCGGGCAAAGCACUUCGCCUGCGCCGCAGAGCCGCAGAGCUGCCGGGCCUGGCCCGGGGCAGCGGCCGCAGCGGCCGCAGCCGCCGCCGCAGCCCGGUCGUGCGAUCCAGAGCAUCCCCCGCGCCCGGGAUGGUGCCGGGCUCGGGGCUCCCCUCGGCGCACCCCGGGGAGGGUGGCACGGACGGGCAGCAAUGCCCUUGUGAACCCCGCGCUGGCACCGGUGCUGCAGCUCUGCUCCCCUCCAGCCCGGCGCAGCGCUGGUGCUGCGCUUUUUUUAAGCUUCCCUCUGUCUCUCGGCGGAGAUUUGUGGCGUAAAAUGCACAAUAUGUUCUAUCUGCCCUGUGGGAGCCAUAAAAUAUUCACCAGCAGCUCCCAUUAUAGUCACAGUGAAUCACAGGGAACGCUCGAGCCCUCGCUCCCCGACGUGCCCCCUCCCCCUGCAGCCCCGGUGCAGCCUCGGGGCCCCGGCCGUGCCAGUGCCAGGGCCUGAGGAGCAGCCAGUGCCCGCCCAAAUCCCGCAGCAAGGACCCACAUUCCCACCUCCAUCCCUGAGAGACAUCCCCGGGAUCGGCGGGUCGAGGGCUGGUGACUGCACUGAUGGGAUGGCAGCUUACAGAAUGGUUGAGUUGGAAGGGACCAUCUUGUUCCACCCCCUGCCGUGGGCAGGGACACCCCCCACUAACCAGGUUGCUCCAAGCCCCAUCCAACCUGGCCUUGGACACUUCCAGGGAUGGAGCAUGGGCGGCAUCUCUGGCUGCCUGUGCUGGGGCCUCACCACCCUUCACCUUCAGCUGCCUGAACACCCUCGUGGGUGCCCAGGGAGGAGCAGCACCAGCCCUGUGCAUGAAGGAGACCAGGAUGGUGGCAGCAGCAGUGGGGUGGGCUCACAUGUCUACAGCAGCCUGUCCUGGCUGCCCUGUCCCACCACACACGGGCUGGUGUGUGAACAUCCCCAGGGUGACUUGUGCUGUCACUUGGCUUUUUGCAGUCACAGCUCCCUGAGGGAGGUGUCACAGCCCUGCCAGGGUGGUGGGACAGCCCCUGCCUGCUCCUUGACUCUGCUGUCACACCUGUGUCUCACUGCUCUUCAUAUGGCUCAGUACCACAGCACUCCUCUGCUUCCACCUCCUCCCGUGUCCUGCUGUCCAGCAUUCCGUUCCAUCCAUCCUUCCCUUGACCCACUGCCCAUCCCCACCUCCCCCUUCCGACCUCAGACUCAAGACUGACAGAGCCAAGGGAUGACAAAUUUCCCAAUAAAAUGACACCCUGCUCUGGAGCUGAUAUGUCAAACACAAUUUUCUCUUUUGCCACACAAUUAUAUGUAAUUAUAAAGCAGUUAAUGCUGCCUCUGCCCUUGGGAAUCGGGCCGAAUUAGGGUUGGAUUUCACCUCCACCCCUUCCAUGGCCACACUGCAGCUCUCAGCCCGGUCCAUGAGCCUGGUCCAUGAUGUCUCCUCAGAGGUCCUUACAGUGUCCCAUUGUCCCAGUGUCCCAGGCAGCAUCAUUUCCAUCCACUGCCAUCCCUGCACCUGCUCCUGGAACUUGUGUCCCCUCCCAGCACCAGCCCACACGAGUGUCCCCGGCUGCACCGGGCACUGCCGUGCCAAGCUCCUGGCAUAGCAGGAUUUGCCCCCGGUGUGUUGGGUGGCACAGGGCUCACUGGGACAUGGCUCCAGAGAGCCGUGGGCAAGGCAGGACACAGUCACCCACCUGGGCUGGUCAUCAUCACAAGGGCCAUCACAAGGGCUGAGAUGUCCCAGCACGUCCUGGGCUCUGAGCAGGCUCAGUGCGGGAUGGGGGGGCCGCAGUCACACACGGGGUCACCCCGUGGUGGCCACACAACCCACCGGGAUAGCCGGGAGGGAGCGGGGCCCAGGCAGCAGCUUCCCAGGGCGGCCGCGAGGGUUAAACCCGGCUCCUCUCCCUGAACAGACUGAGGGAAAGGAGGGAGCGUGGCAGUGCCCUCCCCGCCAAAAUUAACUCUCCAUCUGUUUCUCCCCGGCUGAGGCUGAUGGCUUGUGACAGGGCCUCCUGAAUGCAAAGAUGUUUCGCCCGGAAAAAUCUAUUACAAGUUGCUGUAAGAAAGACUGAAAUCCUCUCCUUCUGUCUCUGCCUACUGGUCUCAAGGUGCCCACCCGGGGCGAGCGCGGGCUGGCACACAGCCGGCCGCCUCCGCUCAGCCGGAAAGCUCUGCCCGCGCCAGCCGGGCUCGCCGCCGGACAAACGGCACAGGAGGGAGCCGGGUGCUGCCCUGGUGCUGGGGAGGAGGGAGAGCUGCUCCUUCAGCCCCAGCCCGGCCCCGGUGCCGCUGAGGCAGUGGCCACGGCACCAUCGCAGCCCUCGGCCAGGCCGUGCUGCGGGUGGGGAAACUGAGGCAGGAGGCCGGGGAAGGGGAGCCCGGCCGGGCGGGCGGUGGGUGCCCUCUCCCGGCCGCAGCACAGCCCUGCUCGGCCCUGCGACAGGAAACCUGCCACUUGGUUUACCGAGAAUUUCUGGAGCUUGCUUUAUUUUCGUCCCUUUCCGUGUCUCCACACAGCCUUUCUCGGCCCCCGCGCCCCGAAGUGCAGCUAAAAAACCCCAAAAUUCAAAUUCCCACUUCUUUUUGGAGCUCAGCUCUCUCUCCAGCACACUGCCAGAUGCUUCAUGGAAAUGCCUUCAAGACCUUUUGCUUUGACCCUAAAACCUCCCCCCUCAUCCCCGUUGUCUGUUCCGCAAAAAAGCCAGGCAGCUUCAGUAAAAAACAAAACUUUAUUUGGUCCAUCAGAACCUGAGUUUGAAAACCACCCAUGGAUAAUUCGUAUCAUACAGGGAUUACUGAUCUGAUUUACAAUUGAUAAAAUAUCCUAUGAUUCUGAAGAGCUGGACAGUAUUUACAGGGUUAAAAAUAUUCACAGCUCAGAAAAACAGAAAGAGAGAGGAGAAAAAAAGUGAAGGACAAAUCAUCCCGAGGAGGAAGGAGUUGGAAAGAGAGAAAACAGAUCGACAAACAAAAAUACAGACAGAGCUUGGCUCAGCAGUCCCAGCUGGGGGGACCAGGAGGGUGCCGGGGCAGCCCACCCCCCUGCCCACCCCCUGGGGGACACAGAGGGACAGGCUGGGCAGGGCCCCACACACACCCCUGCCCAGCCCAGCUGCUGGUGCAGGGUUUGGGGUGCAGGGAUUGGGGUGCAGGGUGCCCCCCAGCACAGUCCCUGCCAGAAGAGGGUCUAGCAUUGCCCACCACCUCCCUCAGCUGCAGGUCCACACAGCUUGGGAAGGAGAAGGUACACAGGGGGACCCCCAAAACACACACACA
This is a long non-coding RNA of Pseudopipra pipra, 5228 nucleotides long. RefSeq lists it as uncharacterized. The transcript has 2 exons. NCBI's taxonomy places the organism in Eukaryota, Metazoa, Chordata, Aves, Passeriformes, Pipridae. The record is from RefSeq and is a predicted model, not a curated record.